UGAAGUCGGAAUUGCUAGUAAUCGCAGAUCAGCAUGCUGCGGUGAAUACGUUCCCGGGCCUUGUACACACCGCCCGUCACACCAUGGGAGUCGGUAACACCCGAAGUCGGUAGCCUAACCGUAAGGGAGGAGCUGCCGAAGGUGGAGCCGGUAACUGGGGUGAAGUCGUAACAAGGUAAC
Molecule: ribosomal RNA, 180 nt
Filed under: uncultured bacterium
Lineage: Bacteria
Description: partial 16S ribosomal RNA
Rfam family: Bacterial small subunit ribosomal RNA
Source: RNAcentral